RNAcentral lists this ribosomal RNA (733 nucleotides) under uncultured bacterium. RNAcentral describes it as "bacterial SSU rRNA". It matches the Rfam family "Bacterial small subunit ribosomal RNA", at positions 771 to 1501 of the family's 1533-position model. The record is from RNAcentral.
AACAGGAUUAGAUACCCUGGUAGUCCAUGCCGUAAACGUUGGGCGCUAGGUGUGGGGCUCUUUCCAUGAGUUCCGUGCCGCAGCUAACGCAUUAAGCGCCCCGCCUGGGGAGUACGGCCGCAAGGCUAAAACUCAAAGGAAUUGACGGGGGCCCGCACAAGCGGCGGAGCAUGCGGAUUAAUUCGAUGCAACGCGAAGAACCUUACCAAGGCUUGACAUGGGGUGAAAACUCGCAGAGAUGCGGGGUCCGCAAGGGCGCCUCACAGGUGGUGCAUGGUUGUCGUCAGCUCGUGUCGUGAGAUGUUGGGUUAAGUCCCGCAACGAGCGCAACCCUCGUUCUAUGUUGCCAGCACGUGAUGGUGGGGACUCAUAGGAGACUGCCGGGGUCAACUCGGAGGAAGGUGGGGACGACGUCAAAUCAUCAUGCCCCUUAUGUCUUGGGCUUCACGCAUGCUACAAUGGCCAGUACAAAGGGCUGCGAGACCGUAAGGUGGAGCGAAUCCCAAAAAGCUGGUCUCAGUUCGGAUCGGGGUCUGCAACUCGACCCCGUGAAGUCGGAGUCGCUAGUAAUCGCAGAUCAGCAACGCUGCGGUGAAUACGUUCCCGGGCCUUGUACACACCGCCCGUCACGUCAUGAAAGUCGGUAACACCCGAAGCCGGUGGCCCAACCCGUAAGGGAGGGAGCUGUCGAAGGUGGGACUGGCGAUUAGGACGAAGUCGUAACAAGGUAACC